Molecule: ribosomal RNA, 497 nt
Filed under: uncultured bacterium
Lineage: Bacteria
Description: partial 16S ribosomal RNA
Rfam family: Bacterial small subunit ribosomal RNA
Source: RNAcentral
GAUGAACGCUGGCGGCGUGCCUAAUACAUGCAAGUCGAGCGAACGGACGAGAAGCUUGCUUCUCUGAUGUUAGCGGCGGACGGGUGAGUAACACGUGGAUAACCUACCUAUAAGACUGGGAUAACUUCGGGAAACCGGAGCUAAUACCGGAUAAUAUUUUGAACCGCAUGGUUCAAAAGUGAAAGGCGGUCUUGCUGUCACUUAUAGAUGGAUCCGCGCUGCAUUAGCUAGUUGGUAAGGUAACGGCUUACCAAGGCAACGAUGCAUAGCCGACCUGAGAGGGUGAUCGGCCACACUGGAACUGAGACACGGUCCAGACUCCUACGGGAGGCAGCAGUAGGGAAUCUUCCGCAAUGGGCGAAAGCCUGACGGAGCAACGCCGCGUGAGUGAUGAAGGUCUUCGGAUCGUAAAACUCUGUUAUUAGGGAAGAACAUAUGUGUAAGUAACUGUGCACAUCUUGACGGUACCUAAUCAGAAAGCCACGACUAACUACGUG